This 831-nucleotide small RNA is filed under the name Histoplasma capsulatum. RNAcentral describes it as "hypothetical RNA". Lineage: Eukaryota; Fungi; Ascomycota; Eurotiomycetes; Onygenales; Ajellomycetaceae. The record is from RNAcentral. RNAcentral also lists the same sequence under 1 other name.
GUACAGAAAAAGAAGAAAGCAGGAAACCUACUAGUUAACGCAUCCAACUGCGGCUUGGUUGUUGGAGUGGCUGGGUUCAAUGGCGCUGAUGAGAAGGCUACGCACAGACACCAUCUACGGCUGAGUGGAUUCGUUGGUGCUGUUGUUCCAUGGUGAUCAUGUUUCCAUCGAAUGAAACUGCAUCGAUAACUAUCAGCGUUUGCUACAAGCAUACAGAUAUGACCUGUGAAACGGAUGAUGUUCAUUGAUCUCCCAAAGAAACUUAGUAUCGGAAGUUCCGCCUUGAAAAAGUAACACUGAGGAAUAGCUAUUUUCUCCGCGGGCACGUAGACAUUCAAGUUUUCAGGAUAACCGAGCAUCAUGAACACCGAAAUAUGGUUGAUUUGAAGAAGAACAGUAGAAAAGGAGAAGAAAAGAAAAAAGUACAAAGACUUGGCAGUUCACACAAACCAAGUUACUUCUCCCAUUCGCCCAAUUACAAACGCAAAGAAACCGCUUAGAACGGAGGCGGAACCUGGAGUUUUCUCAACUGCCAACCAGCGACGACGGCGCUUAUUAGUGAGUACCUUUUCCUUUCUGUUCGUUUCGUUUUGAAAGAUUUCGUUUGGAAUCUGAGAGGCCCACAUCGACGCCUAACUCCAUAAAAUAAUAUACAGCCCCUCCAAAAGACCGCAAGGAGGAGGAUAAGGGUGUCCUACCAGGAAAAUGAUAAAUGCUUUAUUUUACUCAUACGCUAGAACUCUGUUGCUUGUUAUCUAGACAACAACCAUAUACCAACAUACGGUGCAAUUUCAAUAUCAGUUCGCAAUAGGUGUGUCAAAAAUUAUAGUU